GAGUGGUGCUUCCAGUUCAGAGAGCACCAUCUGGAAUCCCAGUCUGAGGUUACAAUUAGAACUCCUGGCCCCAGAUUCAACUUUGCAAGCAAG
Molecule: non-coding RNA, 93 nt
Organism: Cricetulus griseus (Chinese hamster)
Lineage: Eukaryota; Metazoa; Chordata; Mammalia; Rodentia; Cricetidae
Source: Rfam